RNAcentral lists this transfer RNA (73 nucleotides) under Chlamydomonas moewusii. RNAcentral's name for it is "tRNA-Trp". It matches the Rfam family "tRNA". From Rfam's summary of the family: Transfer RNA (tRNA) molecules are approximately 80 nucleotides in length. The record is from RNAcentral. Lineage: Eukaryota; Viridiplantae; Chlorophyta; Chlorophyceae; Chlamydomonadales; Chlamydomonadaceae.
AGAAGGGUAGCUCAACGGUUAGAGUAUAGGAUUCCAAAUCCUGUGGUUGCAAGUUCAAAUCUUGUUCUUUCUG